Epinephelus fuscoguttatus (brown-marbled grouper) is the source of this 2970-nucleotide long non-coding RNA. RefSeq lists it as uncharacterized. The transcript is spliced from 2 exons. The record is from RefSeq and is a predicted model, not a curated record. Lineage: Eukaryota; Metazoa; Chordata; Actinopteri; Perciformes; Serranidae.
GUUCAACUUCAGGAGUGUGACACUGGAGGGCAUGAGGAGAGUGAGACGGAGGAAAGGAGUAAAAACUUGCUGUCUCAGAGAGGCACUUCACACUCACUUCACAGCAAUUCCUGCAACCUGUUGAUCAGUACAGACAUUCACACGGAGCGACAGUAAAGUGUGCCUGCUGUUCAAAUGUACUGUAAUAUUGGCACUGGAAUAUUGCCCUGAUCUGUGGUCUGUCACUGUGGACCGGCUCUAUUACAAAGGUCAGACGUAAAUAGUUCCUUUGAAUGAGAUGGCUUAAUUUCUGUCUGUCUGUCUGCUUGUAUGUCUGUCAGUCUGUCUGCUUAUAUGUUUGUCUGUUUGAUUUAGGGAUUAUAUUUCCAACCGUCUGAAUGACUUGCCACAUAAUUAGUUUGCCUCUACCUGUUUGUCUGCCUUCCUUUACAACUGUCUGCUCACAGUACGUCAUCCGUCUACCACAUGCGUGUCAUCUAUCUGUCUUCAUGUCCAUCAGUCUGUGUGCCUCUCGGCGGGGCGUCGUUGGCAGCAAAGAGUGAGAACAGAGGUCAUAAAAAGUUUCAAGAAAAGCAGCCGAGAGUUGUAAUGGUAGUGGCGAAGCGAGGGCCGGAGCCGCUCAAACAUUCCUCUCAUUGUUCAGAGGCCCUGUAAGUCUGUGAGCUCCCAAACCUCCAUGAAAGGAAGGGAAUCCAGCAGCUACUGUAGCUAAUAGUCUCAGCUAUAGCUCAGGGCUGGCGGUCUCUGUCUUCCUGUCCACCGUCCUGUCUAGUGCUCCUCUGGGAGUGUUGGUAUAGAAGAAAUUUGGCAGUGGAGGGCGAAAAUGGAGCUGAAGGAGAUUAAAGCUGAAGCGCAGAAGAAAGGAGUUAAUAUAGUUCGGCAGAGGGAUCUGUUGCUUUGCUCUGCUCUGACUUUAGAUAACCUCUACGCCGAAAGACACGGGGAAGAGGAGAGAGGUAGGAGUUAUUCUGCCUUUUAAAGCGAGGAAUCAUUAGAUUGUAAAGCCCGUGAGGGAAAGCUAAAGGGAUGAAUGGAUGGAGGAAAGAGGGGACAGAGGGAGCUUGAGCAGGAGAGAAGGUGGGGAUCCAGGACUGCCUUGGCUUUGGUGGUGUGGCUGGGUGGGUGGGUGUGCCCAGCAGCAAUUCGUAGGAAUGGGCCCAGGCUCAGGAAACCGUGGCGUAGUGGAAUAAAAGUGUGUGUGUGUGUGUAGUUUCUGCAUCCAUUUGUGCAUGUGUGGUGGUUCAGUUGCAGCAGGGCGGCUGUACACUAAGUACAGGGCUGGUGGUGGUAAGGGUGUUUGGCAACGAAUCAGGCUGAGGAUAGGGUUACACGCAUUGGGCUACAGGGAGCGGACCACGGGCUUGGGCUGGGCUGAGGCUAGCUUUACAGCCCGAAGAGACUUUGAGCUCUUCUCUCUCUCUUUUUUUUUUUUUUUUUUUUUUAAAUCUGGAGCUGGAAAUACUUUUUUUUUAUUCUCAGACUAAUGUCCCACAUGUGGUGCGUUCCAUUGAUUCCAGGCCAGCCAAUGAACGUCCCCCUCUUUUGAUUCAGGAAAACUGCAACAGAGAGGGCCCAUAGUAGAGCGCGAGUCCUUGUUUGAAUGUCACUGAAUGUCACGGCCUCAGCAAUAAUUACGCCCUCACACGCAACAUGAAACAAAUACAAUCUUGCUCACAUGCGCACACACAACCCAGACGCACAGUCUGUCUGGUAGCAAGAGGGCCAGGGUGUGGUGCCGCUGUACUGUAAGGUGUGUGAGUUCAAAGAUCUAGGUUUAAGUCGCUGGGAUGUGUUGUGUGCUCAUCUUGUCUCCUUUCUGAACUCAGCUGAUCUGGUUAAUAGUUACAUUUCUUCCUCUGCUCUCAUCAGUGUGUGUGUGUGUGUGUGUGUGUUUAAGAGGUGUAAUUGACACGACAGCAAUUAUAAAAAGCAAAUGUGCCUUAUUUACACUUAAGAGGGGAAUUCAGACAUUAUUGUAACCCUUGUGCCCCAGUGUUGACAUAACGUCUUGAGACUUAGAUAGAUUGAUUUCACAUGAGGCUGGGGCUGGAAACAAACUGCCCUCUGUGAAAUUCUCUGAUGCAAUGGAAAGAUACAAAAGUUGUGUAGGCUUUGGUUUGAUUCCUAAUUAUUAAUAAAGUGCACAAUAGCAGAGUGCAGCUGGCCCAUGGGUAGCCCCGCUCACUGUUUGCUCUGUGAAGUGUUUCACAGGCCGGAGGUGUGAAUGAUGUCAGACUGGUAUGUAUUUGUACUAUUUCUGGUUAUGAGACAGGGCGAGAACCCGGCUAACGCACAUGCCAUGUUUGCCCAGCAGCCCACUGACAUAACUGUGUUUGUUUAUUGAUAGUGAGCAUAUUAUGUGCGGAGAGGCAGAUUGCGUCUUGCCUGUGAGCAUGUGUGCAUUUCUUAGUGCAUCUGUGAGUGUGUGUGUGUGUGUGUGUGUGUGUGUGCACAAGGGCAUAGGGAGAGAGAAGAUAUGUGUUGAAGCAACAAGGGGUUGAGAUCCAGCUGUCUCAACAGAGGCUUUUCCACUUAACUGUGUGCCCUUGUGUAAACGGCAAUGUCAAUUCUGGACUGUGGCUGAAGGGGAGAGACGGUUUGAGAAAACAGCCAGUGGCCACGUCUACACUUGGGGCCUCCAUAUGUCGUGUGCGCGAAUAUAAACUCAGCAGAACACACACAAAGCGUAAAAGUGUACACCCUAAAACCUUCAAAGCACCCACACACAAGGCUGCAAGCCACGAAGACGCUCUCUAAAAACAUUUUGACUCUACUGGGGCACAUCUGCUGCCGAUCGUCACCCGGUGACACUAAUUUUCCUAUUCUACGCCUCCAUCAGGAUGCAACACGUUGGCACAAUUACGAGCUGCCAAUAAGUCGCAGCCCACAUGGUAGAACCUUAUCAUUAUUCCUAACCAUAAUAAACAUCCAAUUUGAGAAAAGUGUAACAACAGGAUCGCUUGGCUCCGC